Onychostruthus taczanowskii (white-rumped snowfinch) is the source of this 557-nucleotide long non-coding RNA. RefSeq lists it as uncharacterized. The transcript has 4 exons. The record is from RefSeq and is a predicted model, not a curated record. NCBI's taxonomy places the organism in Eukaryota, Metazoa, Chordata, Aves, Passeriformes, Passeridae.
CCCGCUGCGGCCGUGGCGCUCCCGCCCUGCUGGGGCCGCGGCCUGAGGCGGAGCGGCCCUGGGCCGGGGGUGCAGGUGCCGUGCUCGGCCCGAGGGCCUUCCCUGGGGCUACUGGAGAUCCGGGGACUGCCCGCCGAGGUUCGUCCCGGGCUGCCUCAGGCCUUGGCAUCUGCCCAGGGCAGCGGGCGGAGGAUGCUCAGGCUGCUGCCGGUUUGUCACGCACGACGGUGCUGGUUGGUCGCUCCUGUUGUAAGCUGUGGGCGCCCUUAAAGACAGGAGAGUACAAAACUGGGGCAAACAACUGAAGAUGUCAUCCUGUUUGGCUCAGGAGGUUCACCUGGCUAGAAGACAUGAGGAGAUGAUAUAGAAGCAGCAGAAAAAAGGCUGCAAGAAAGAAUGUAUUUACUUCCACAUCCUGAUACUGUUAAGUUAGAAUUACAGACGAGGUACAUGCACGGAUACCAGGCGACCCCCAGCCGGUGCUCCAGCUUCCCUAGUCAUCCUCCUCAUCCUCCUCAUCGCUGUCCUUCAUGGUGAUGCCCUGGAGCCCCCCGCCC